UGGGGAAUAUUGGGCAAUGGGCGCAAGCCUGACCCAGCAAUGCCGCGUGAAGGAAGAAGGCCCUCGGGUUGUAAACUUCUUUUAUCAGGGACGAAGGAUGUGACGGUACCUGAUGAAUAAGCUCCGGCUAACUACGUGCCAGCAGCCGCGGUAAUACGUAGGGAGCAAGCGUUAUCCGGAUUUACUGGGUGUAAAGGGCGCGUAGGCGGGAUGGCAAGUCAGAUGUGAAAUCCAGGGGCUCAACCCCUGAACUGCAUUUGAAACUGUCGUUCUUGAGUACUGGAGAGGUUGACGGAAUUCCUAGUGUAGCGGUGAAAUGCGUAGAUAUUAGGAGGAACACCAGUGGCGAAGGCGGUCAACUGGACAGCAACUGACGCUGAGGCGCGAAAGCGUGGGGAGC
This 400-nucleotide ribosomal RNA is filed under the name uncultured bacterium. RNAcentral's name for it is "bacterial SSU rRNA". It matches the Rfam family "Bacterial small subunit ribosomal RNA", at positions 355 to 769 of the family's 1533-position model. The record is from RNAcentral.